GAAGUGGACUUCUCUAACGAAACUCCCGCCACUUUUCUUCACUUCUAUCUUCCGCACCACGUUACUCUUCCCUUCUUCUUCCUUUCCUUCUUGAUUGUUGAAUGUUAACUCUUCGUUCAUGCCAUCCUCUGCUUUACAAAUCUUUAUCUCGCAAUCUCCUGAAACCGACCGCACUAUUUCAUCUCUCUUUCUCUAGUAAACCCUUCUCUCACAAACCAAAACCCCUCUCUAUCUCCUUAAACCCUCAGCCCAAGAUGUCUACUCCUCCCUCCGCUUUCGAUUUUCUCAUGUCCAAAUCUCGCACCGCCGCCGCCAAAAAGAACCCUCAAUCCACUUCUUCUCCUAAUAAGCGUAAAACCACAAAUGUCCAAAACCCUAAACCACCAAAUUCAUCAGCUGAUGAAAUUCAAGAAAACGCCGAAAAACCCAGUUUAGAUCUCAAGGAACCCAUCUCGAAUCAACAUGAACCGCAAGAUUCAGUUGACGCCAAACAGGCCCAACAACCGGUUGAUAAUUGCGAAAGACCCAAAAAGAAACCCAAAGUAUUGAGUGCUAAUGAGAGAGUUGCGGAAUUGAAGAGUAAAAUGGUGUUGUUGAAGGAGAAACCAGGUGAUUUUGAUCCUAAAAUGGUGGCGUGUUGGGAGAAAGGAGAGAGGGUGCCGUUUAUUUUCUUGAGUUUGGCAUUUGAGAUGAUUUCGAACGAAACGGGGCGGAUUUUGAUUACUAAUAUUGUGUGUAAUAUGUUGAGGACUGUCAUGGAUACGACACCUGAGGACUUGGUGGCAGUUGUGUAUUUGGCGGCCAAUAAGAUUGCACCAGCUCAUGAGGGACUGGAGCUAGGAAUUGGGGAUGCUUCUAUUAUAAAGGCGCUUGCGGAAGCAUAUGGGAGGACUGAUGCCCAGGUUAAGAAGCAGUAUAAGGAAAUGGGAGAUUUGGGCCUUGUUGCCAAAGCAAGUCGCUCAUCUCAAUCAAUGAUAUUCAAGCGGCCAGAUGCAUUAUCUAUUUGUAAAGUUUUUGAUGCUUUUCGGCUCAUUGCUAAGGAAGCUGGAAAAGAUAGUCAAGAGAAGAAAAAAAACAGAAUCAAGGCCCUCCUUGUUGCUGCCACUGAUUGUGAACCUCAAUAUUUGAUUCGUCUACUUCAGUCAAAGUUGCGAAUUGGACUAGCAGAGCAAACUCUCUUAGCUGCAUUGGGACAAGCAGCUGUUUAUAAUGAACAACAUUCUAAACCACCUCCACAUGUUCAAUCUCCUUUAGAGGAGGCUGUGAAGAUUGUUAAACAAGCGUUCUCUGUACUACCUGUUUAUGAUAAAAUAGUCUCUGCUCUUCUUAGUGGUGGCGUGUGGGAUCUACCGAAUACAUGCAGUUUUACGCUGGGUGUCCCGGUUGGACCUAUGUUAGCAAAACCAACCAAAGGGGUGUCUGAGAUCAUAAAUAAGUUCCAGGAUAUGGAAUUCACAUCUGAAUACAAGUAUGAUGGAGAACGUGCCCAGAUACAUUACAUGGAGAACGGUUCUGUUGAGAUAUACAGUCGAAAUUCUGAACGUAAUACUGGAAAGUUUCCUGAUGUUGCUCUUGCAAUUUCAAGAUUAAAGAAAUCCUCUGUAAAAUCAUUUGUUCUGGACUGUGAACUUGUUGCUUAUGACCGGGAGAAACAGAAGAUUUUGCCCUUUCAGAUCCUUAGUACUCGAGCUCGUAAAAAUGUGUCUGUGAGUGACAUCAAGGUUGAUGUCUGCAUAUAUGCUUUUGACAUGUUGUAUGUCAAUGGCCAACCACUUCUUCAGGAGCAACUGAAAGUUCGUAGAGAGAGACUUUAUGACUCAUUUCAGGAAGAACCUGGAUUUUUCCAGUUUGCAACAGCUUUAACAUCGAGUGAUCUUGAUGAAAUACAAAAGUUUCUUGAUGCUGCUGUAGAUGCAAGUUCUGAGGGUUUAAUCAUCAAAACACUGAAUCGAGAUGCCACAUACGAGCCUUCAAGGCGGUCUCAUAACUGGCUGAAACUGAAGAAAGAUUAUAUUGACAGUAUUGGAGACUCGCUCGAUUUAGUACCUAUUGCUGCAUUUCAUGGGCGUGGGAAACGUACAGGUGUUUAUGGUGCUUUUCUAUUAGCAUGUUAUGACAGCAACAACGAAGAAUUCCAAAGCAUUUGUAAAAUAGGCACUGGAUUUUCUGAAGCAGUGCUUGAAGAACGUUCCUCUAGUCUCCGCUCUAAAGUAAUUCCGAAACCAAAGCCAUACUACCGAUAUGCAGAUACCAUCAAUCCAGAUGUAUGGUUUGAGCCCACCGAGGUCUGGGAGGUGAAAGCUGCAGAUUUGACUAUUAGCCCUGUUCACCAUGCAGCAAUUGGUGUUUUGGAUCCUGAUAAGGGCAUUUCACUUCGAUUUCCUCGUCUAAUUCGUGUUCGGGAAGAUAAGAAUCCAGAGCAAGCCUCGUCAUCUGAGCAGGUUGCGGACAUGUAUAACGCUCAAAAACACAAUCAACCAAAUAAUCAAGAUGACAAUGAAGAUGAUUGAGGAGCUGGCUCAAAGUCCUCUUGGACAUAUCUUCUUGUAAAGUUAGCUCUGUCUUGAGAAAAAAAAUUCCAUGGAGAUAUUGCAAUGAUAGCUGUUUUUGAGCUUUAAAUGCAAGAAUGAUUACCUACUCACUAGGAGACUUGCUUGCGCAAUAUGAAUUGGAGUCGCCAUGCUCUUUGCUCUAAACUUAGUAUGAUUUGGAUAUUGUAGCCAUCAAAAAAUUUUCAGAAUCUGAAGAGGAAAAUGUGUCAGCUGCAAAAUCAGCAUAGUAUUUGAUUUGUUGGAAUUGAUUUUGUGGUUUUUAACUUGGGCAGCAACUGUAUUAACCGAGAAGAUAUGAAUUUUCCUCAUAGCACAGAUAAGAAAGCAUGGUUUGAACUGGAAAGCCAGUCAGAAUCAGGUCCAUCCAGCCUUGGGAUUGUAGUCUUCUGGUUUGGGUCGAGUUGGGUAUUCAGAUUCCAUUUGAAAGUAAUAGAGAUUUAACUGGGCAGGCCUAGAAAUGGAAUGGUUAUUUCAGCUCAUUAUUAAUAUUGGCUGGUUGAGGAUUUGGGAUGAAUAAUUGGUCAAGGUUAAGUAUUCGAUAAAGCUAGAACUAUGAGAGGGAAGUGAAUGUGACCAGAUGCUAUGAGGAGGAUGAGGAGGAGUAGUAGUAGUAGUAGUAGAAGUAGGUCAAGAAGUCUAAUAAAAUGUCUUUUUGGUCAAAAAUUAACAUAUUAAUUUCUAUGCCUCUGUGCCGUGUGGACCAGGGCCAUUCCUUACAGAUUUUCCCAGUUUUCAACCUAACUUUGCAACCGGCUCUUGAGGUCUAAAGUCUUCUUUUUUUCUAUUUGCCUUUUCAUAAGUUUACACU
This is an RNA transcript of Pistacia vera, 3360 nucleotides long. It is a transcript of the gene named DNA ligase 1-like, with no coding region annotated. The record is from RefSeq and is a predicted model, not a curated record. The transcript has 19 exons. NCBI's taxonomy places the organism in Eukaryota, Viridiplantae, Streptophyta, Magnoliopsida, Sapindales, Anacardiaceae.